Molecule: ribosomal RNA, 395 nt
Filed under: uncultured bacterium
Lineage: Bacteria
Description: bacterial SSU rRNA
Rfam family: Bacterial small subunit ribosomal RNA
Source: RNAcentral
UUCGGGUUGUAAAGUACUUUCAGCAGUGAGGAAGGUGGGAUAUGUUAAUAGCAUAUUCAUUUGACGUUAGCUGCAGAAGAAAGCACCGGCUAACUCCGUGCCAGCAGCCGCGGUAAUACGGAGGGUGCGAGCGUUAAUCGGAAUUACUGGGCGUAAAGACGCAUGCAGGUGGUUUGUUUAAGUCAGAUGUGAAAGACCCGGGGCGUCAACCUCGGAAUUGCAUUUGUAAACUAGGCAGACUAGAGUACUGUAGAGGGGGGUAGGAAUUUCAGGUGUAGCGGUGAAAUGCGUAGAGAUCUGAAGGAAUACCGGUGGCGAAGGCGGCCCCCUCGGACAGAUACUGACACUCAGAUGCGAAAGCGUCGGGGAGCAAACAGGAUUAGAUACCCUGGUAG